This 497-nucleotide ribosomal RNA is filed under the name uncultured bacterium. Its description in RNAcentral is "partial 16S ribosomal RNA". It matches the Rfam family "Bacterial small subunit ribosomal RNA", at positions 28 to 507 of the family's 1533-position model. The record is from RNAcentral.
GAUGAACGCUGGCGGCGUGCCUAAUACAUGCAAGUCGAGCGAACGGACGAUAAGCUUGCUUCUCUGAUGUUAGCGGCGGACGGGUGAGUAACACGUGGAUAACCUACCUAUAAGACUGGGAUAACUUCGGGAAACCGGAUCUAAUACCGGAUAAUAUUUUGAACCGCAUGGUUCAAAAGUGAAUGACGGUCUUGCUGUCACUAAUAGAUGGAUCUGCGCUGCAUUAGCUAGUUGGUAAGGUAACGGCUUACCAAGGCAACGAUGCAUAGCCGACCUGAGAGGGUGAUCGGCCACACUGGAACUGAGACACGGUCCAGACUCCUACGGGAGGCAGCAGUAGGGAAUCUUCCGCAAUGGGCGAAAGCCUGACGGAGCAACGCCGCGUGAGUGAUGAAGGUCUUCGGAUCGUAAAACUCUGUUAUUAGGGAAGAACAUAUGUGUAAGUAACUGUGCACAUCUUGACGGUACCUAAUCAGAAAGCCACGGCUAACUACGUG